This 154-nucleotide non-coding RNA is filed under the name unclassified sequences. RNAcentral's name for it is "RT-16 RNA". It matches the Rfam family "RT-16 RNA". From Rfam's summary of the family: candidate division DUSEL4 (Archaea). Nearby to self-splicing intron genes The record is from Rfam by way of RNAcentral.
UCUUGGUAUGAAAACCAAGGCUACAAGUUAGAUAUUAAGCUUCCAAUAGCGAUAAAAUUCAAUCACAACAUAUAGUAAUGAUGAAGGAACCAAAAGUGAGCUGAGUGAAAUAUGAAGUGAUGGUGAUUUACUUUCAUUUAUCUGACUAGUUGAG